RNAcentral lists this ribosomal RNA (167 nucleotides) under uncultured bacterium. Its description in RNAcentral is "partial 16S ribosomal RNA". It matches the Rfam family "Bacterial small subunit ribosomal RNA", at positions 1334 to 1500 of the family's 1533-position model. The record is from RNAcentral.
GCUAGUAAUCGCGGAUCAGCAAGCCGCGGUGAAUACGUUCCCGGGCCUUGUACACACCGCCCGUCACACCAUGAGAGUCGGGAACACCCGAAGUCCGUAGUCUAACCGCAAGGGGGGCGCGGCCGAAGGUGGGUCCGGUAAUUGGGGUGAAGUCGUAACAAGGUAAC